AGCUCCAAUAGCGUAUAUUAAAGUUGUUGCGGUUAAAAAGCUCGUAGUUGGAUUUCUGCAUCGGAACCAGCAAGGCGUGACCAUAUCGGUCUAGCUUCUGUGGGUUCUUAUGCAUCCUGCCUUUACCCACGCUUGCCUUGAUUGGCUGGCGACGGCGAGGGGCUCGUUUACUUUGAGAAAAUAGAGUGUUCAAAGCAGGCUUUGCGCCUUGAAUAACUUAGCAUGGAAUAAUGACAAAGGACCUUGGUUCUUUUGUUGGUGUUCGGCACCGAGGUAAUGAUUGAUAGGGACAGUUGGGGGCGUCAGUAUUCCGAGGUCAGAGGUGAAAUUCAUAGAUUCUCGGAAGACUAGCAGAUGCGAAAGCGUUCGCCACGGAUGUACUC
RNAcentral lists this ribosomal RNA (383 nucleotides) under uncultured eukaryote. RNAcentral describes it as "SSU rRNA". It matches the Rfam family "Eukaryotic small subunit ribosomal RNA", at positions 587 to 971 of the family's 1831-position model. The record is from RNAcentral.